RNAcentral lists this ribosomal RNA (450 nucleotides) under uncultured bacterium. Its description in RNAcentral is "partial 16S ribosomal RNA". It matches the Rfam family "Bacterial small subunit ribosomal RNA", at positions 354 to 796 of the family's 1533-position model. The record is from RNAcentral.
GUGGGGAAUAUUCCGCAAUGGACGAAAGUCUGACGGAGCAACGCCGCGUGAGUGAUGAAGGUUUUCGGACUGUAAAGCUCUGUUGUUUAGGACGAAAGUGCCUGUUGCAAAUAGUUACAGGUAUUGACGGUACUGAACGAGGAAGCCACGGCUAACUACGUGCCAGCAGCCGCGGUAAUACGUAGGUGGCAAGCGUUGUCCGGAAUUAUUGGGCGUAAAGAGCAUGUAGGCGGGAAUCUAAGUCUGUUGUGAAAAUGCGGGGCUCAACCCCGUAUUGCGAUGGAAACUGGGUUUCUUGAGUGCAGGAGAGGAAAGGGGAAUUCCCAGUGUAGCGGUGAAAUGCGUAGAUAUUGGGAGGAACACCAGUGGCGAAGGCGACUUUCUGGACUGUAACUGACGCUGAGGCGCGAAAGUGUGGGGAGCAAACAGGAUUAGAAACCCUGGUAGUCC